AGCCAUGCAUGUCUAAGUAUANGCAACUAUACAGUGAAACUGCGAUGGCUCAUUAAAUCAGUUAUCGUUUAUUUGAUAGUACCUUACUACUUGGAUAACCGUGGUAAUUCUAGAGCUAAUACAUGCUAAAAAUCCCGACCUCCGGAAGGGAUGUAUUUAUUAGAUAAAAAACCAAUGCCUUCGGGCUCCUUGGUGAUUCAUGAUAACUUAACGAAUCGCAUGGCCUUGCGCCGGCGAUGGUUCAUUCAAAUUUCUGCCCUAUCAACUUUCGAUGGUAGGAUAGUGGCCUACCAUGGUUUCAACGGGUAACGGGGAAUUAGGGUUCGAUUCCGGAGAGGGAGCCUGAGAAACGGCUACCACAUCCAAGGAAGGCAGCAGGCGCGCAAAUUACCCAAUCCCAAUUCGGGGAGGUAGUGACAAUAAAUACUGAUACAGGGCUCUUUUGGGUCUUGUAAUUGGAAUGAGUACAAUUUAAAUCCCUUAACGAGGAACAAUUGGAGGGCAAGUCUGGUGCCAGCAGCCGCGGUAAUUCCAGCUCCAAUAGCGUAUAUUAAAGUUGUUGCAGUUAAAAAGCUCGUAGUUGAACCUUGGGUUUGGCUGCUCGGUCCGCCUAACCGCGUGCACUGAUGCGGCCGGAUCUUUCCUUCUGGCUAACCUCAUGCCCUUUACUGGGUGUGCUGGGGAUCCAGGACUUUUACUUUGAAAAAAUUAGAGUGUUCAAAGCAGGCCUUUGCUCGAAUACAUUAGCAUGGAAUAAUAGAAUAGGACGGAGGUUCUAUUUUGUUGGUUUCUAGAGCCACCGUAAUGAUUAAUAGGGACAGUCGGGGGCAUCAGUAUUCAAUUGUCAGAGGUGAAAUUCUUGGAUUUAUUGAAGACUAACUACUGCGAAAGCAUUUGCCAAGGAUGUUUUCAUUAAUCAGUGAACGAAAGUUAGGGGAUCGAAGACGAUCAGAUACCGUCGUAGUGCUUAACCAUAAACUAUGCCGACUAGGGAUCGGGCGGUGUUCAACUUAUGACCCGCUCGGCACCUUACGAGAAAUCAAAGUUUUUGGGUUCUGGGGGGAGUAUGGUCGCAAGGCUGAAACUUAAAGGAAUUGACGGAAGGGCACCACCAGAUGUGGAGCCUGCGGCUUAAUUUGACUCAACACGGGGAAAACUCACCAGGUCCAGACACAUUAAGGAUUGACAGAUUGAGAGCUCUUUCUUGAUUAUGUGGGUGGUGGUGCAUGGCCGUUCUUAGUUGGUGGAGUGAUUUGUCUGCUUAAUUGCGAUAACGAACGAGACCUUAACCUGCUAAAUAGCCAGGCUAGCUUUUGCUGGUCGCCGGCUUCUUAGAGGGACUAUCGGCUCAAGCCGAUGGAAGUUUGAGGCAAUAACAGGUCUGUGAUGCCCUUAGAUGUUCUGGGCCGCACGCGCGCUACACUGACAGAGCCAACGAGUAUAAACCUUAACCGAGAGGUUUGGGUAAUCUUGUUAAACUCUGUCGUGCUGGGGAUAGGGCAUUGCAAUUAUUGCCCUUCAACGAGGAAUAUCUAGUAAGCGCAAGUCAUCAGCUUGCGUUGAUUACGUCCCUGCCCUUUGUACACACCGCCCGUCGCUACUACCGAUUGAAUGGCUCAGUGAGGCNUUCGGACUGGCUCCAGUGGAUCGGCAAGUUCUUCAGGAGCCGGAAA
Molecule: ribosomal RNA, 1673 nt
Filed under: Orbilia oligospora
Lineage: Eukaryota; Fungi; Ascomycota; Orbiliomycetes; Orbiliales; Orbiliaceae
Description: SSU rRNA
Rfam family: Eukaryotic small subunit ribosomal RNA
Source: RNAcentral